GGCGGCGUGCUUAACACAUGCAAGUCGAACGAUGAACCCCGCUUGCGGGGGGAUUAGUGGCGAACGGGUGAGUAACACGUGAGUAACCUGCCCUUAACUCUGGGAUAAGCCUUGGAAACGGGGUCUAAUACUGGAUAUUGACUUUUCCUCGCAUGGGGAUUGGUUGAAAGAUUUAUUGGUUUUGGAUGGACUCGCGGCCUAUCAGCUUGUUGGUGAGGUAAUGGCUCACCAAGGCGACGACGGGUAGCCGGCCUGAGAGGGUGACCGGCCACACUGGGACUGAGACACGGCCCAGACUCCUACGGGAGGCAGCAGUGGGGAAUAUUGCACAAUGGGCGAAAGCCUGAUGCAGCGACGCCGCGUGAGGGAUGACGGCCUUCGGGUUGUAAACCUCUUUCAGUAGGGAACAAGGCCAGUGUUUAGCUGGUUGAGGGUACUUGCAGAANAAGCGCCGGCUAACUACGUGCCAGCAGCCGCGGUAAUACGUAGGGCGCAAGCGUUAUCCGGAAUUAUUGGGCGUAAAGA
RNAcentral lists this ribosomal RNA (525 nucleotides) under forest soil bacterium 3S3.G2. RNAcentral's name for it is "bacterial SSU rRNA". It matches the Rfam family "Bacterial small subunit ribosomal RNA", at positions 38 to 566 of the family's 1533-position model. The record is from RNAcentral. Lineage: Bacteria; Bacillati; Actinomycetota; Actinomycetes; Micrococcales; Micrococcaceae.